GCCGCGGUGGUGAAACCGGUAAACACGCUAGUUUCAGGGACUAGUGGGAGCAAUCCCUUGAGAGUUCAAGUCUCUCCCGCGGCA
Molecule: transfer RNA, 84 nt
Filed under: Patescibacteria group bacterium
Lineage: Bacteria
Description: tRNA-Leu
Rfam family: tRNA
About the family: Transfer RNA (tRNA) molecules are approximately 80 nucleotides in length.
Source: RNAcentral